RNAcentral lists this long non-coding RNA (2004 nucleotides) under Heterocephalus glaber (naked mole-rat). RNAcentral's name for it is "lncRNA (ENSHGLG00100037791.1)". The record is from RNAcentral. Lineage: Eukaryota; Metazoa; Chordata; Mammalia; Rodentia; Bathyergidae.
AGCACGCGGAGAGACUCCCGUCGGGCGCGGUCCGCGCUCCGCCUGGCGCUCUGUGUGCGCUAAGUGUCCGAGCAGCCCCGCUGCCCCACGCCGGACUUCGCGAGCGACCUUAACGGUGGCGCAACGCAGCCUUCGGCCACCAGAGGCAACCGGCGUCAGCGGCUAGUCAAAAACUGGCGCUUUUUUCCUGCUUUCCGUGUAGAGACUAUCAACUCCAUCUGUCACAAAAUCAAGGCUAAAUCUCCCCAGAGGCGGAGGGAGCCGGGCUCCCGCGCGCUCAGAGCUGGGCUGGUUGCUCUCCCCCAAGGCCGAGGGGGUCUGGGAGGGCGGGAGUCAGAGCCGCAGCCACGGGGGUGUGUUGCUGCAGAAAGUGCCCCGUGCGUACGGAGGUGCCCAGCCUCGGGGCGCCAGGGCAGCGGGAACCCGGGCUCUGCGAGCUGCAGCGCAAAGCCGAACCUCGCAGAGCCAGGCUGAGAGGAAUUAAUUCUUGGGAACAGAGUUGAAGUGUGGCAGGCCCAUGUGGAAGGAGCUCCUAUUCACACAUGGAAGAGUUGUCCUUCCCACAAAGAAGACCUGGAGCCUUCCCCUGAACUCUAUCCUCUGUUGUUCACGAGGGCCAUCUCCAUAUCUUUGAGUUCUACUAAUUCUAAGAAAUGUCUUUCACAUCCACCUUUCCUGUCUUCUUACUUUCCUGGCUUUUUUGAAGUUUUUGUCAUUACUGAAUACUAGGUGUUCUCCAGCUGUUCCUCCAAACCAGAUGUCCUAAAGGAGAAAGCAUCUCAGAAGCACUUGAGAGUUUUUUUUCAAAAUAUAUAAGCUUGUACUAAUGCUGUUAUACUUGAAUUCUUCCCCAUGGACCAAAGAAUGUAUCAUUUGGGAAAAAUAUUUGUCUUAGUCACUUUCUUGUUGCUGGGACACAACACUUGACACCCACAAGUUAAAGGAGGAGAGGUUUAUUGUGGCUUACAGUUUGUGGAGGUCUCAGUCCAUAGUCACCUGGCUUCAAGGCAAGGUGACAUGGCAGAGGGCCAUCGCAGAGGAGAACAGUGGGCUUAUCCACUGAAAUGACAGAUGGAAAAGAUAAUGUAGUCCUUGGCCAGAGCCACCUUGAGAAUCGCUGUGCUAUAUAUACUUGCAAAAAGAAGUGUGAACACAGUUACUUCGUUUGGCUUUGGAGAGAGCUAAGUAAAGACAACAGUCAUAACAGUAACUAUCAACAACAGCGAAAAUACAUGAACAAGCUGGGAUGAAGUGUGUGUCUGGUUAAUACUUCUUAAACUGGGAGAACCAUUAGAAUAACAGAUCUUUAAUGCUGAAAAUUUAUGUCAUGAAAUGUUUUGGGAAAAGAAUUAUGAUCUUAUUGAUUGAAAAAGAUUACAAACCAUCUAAUUCUUUUUAAUGAAAUGUGUAUCCCAGGACUUUAUCAAACAUAUAAUUGGGGAGUUCACAUUCUUAUUUUUAAUCUGCUUUUGUAUUUACCUGCUCAUUUUUCACUGACUUUGGUUCAAUCUAAUCCAAGAAUUCCUUCUACAUGUGCCUGAAAAUGAGUUAUGAAUGAAACGAUUCCAUUUAACUAGGUUAAAACAGAAAACCAAAGAGUUAAUAUAAUGUAGAUUGUAGGCUUUAGUCUAUAAUAGUAUAUCAGUAGUGGUUAUCAGUUGUAACAAAUGCAGCUGGGCAUGGUGGAGCAUGCCUGUCAUCCCAGCCUUCAGGAGGCUGAGGCAGGAGAAUUGCUGACCUUGAACUCACAGCAAACCCUGUUUCAAGAAACAAAAAAUUGUUACAAAUGCAUCUCAUUAAUCAAAUACAAAAUAUACAUUAAGGAAACAGGGAGGACUAUGGGGUUAGGUUGGAAUACUCUGUACUUUCUAAUCUUUCAAUUUAGAGCUUUAUCAUUUAAAGUUUUCAGUUUUAAUAUUCCUUUUUUGCCCAUUAAAAAAUAAGGUAAAUCCAGGUGUGCUGUUUGAAACCAAAAGUUGGUCUCUCUGUGGUAUACAUCUCCCC